This 497-nucleotide ribosomal RNA is filed under the name uncultured bacterium. RNAcentral describes it as "partial 16S ribosomal RNA". It matches the Rfam family "Bacterial small subunit ribosomal RNA", at positions 28 to 507 of the family's 1533-position model. The record is from RNAcentral.
GAUGAACGCUGGCGGCGUGCCUAAUACAUGCAAGUCGAGCGAACAGACGAGGAGCUUGCUCCUCUGACGUUAGCGGCGGACGGGUGAGUAACACGUGGAUAACCUACCUAUAAGACUGGGAUAACUUCGGGAAACCGGAGCUAAUACCGGAUAAUAUAUUGAACCGCAUGGUUCAAUAGUGAAAGACGGUUUUGCUGUCACUUAUAGAUUGAUCCGCGCCGCAUUAGCUAGUUGGUAAGGUAACGGCUUACCAAGGCAACGAUGCGUAGCCGACCUGAGAGGGUGAUCCGCCACACUGGAACUGAGACACGGUACAGACUCCUACGGGAGGCAGCAGUAGGGAAUCUUCCGCAAUGGGCGAAAGCGUGACGGAGCAACGCCGCGUGAGUGAUGAAGGUCUUCGGAUCGUAAAACUCUGUUAUUAGGGAAGAACAAAUGUGUAUGUAACUAUGCACGUCUUGACGGUACCUAAUCAGAAAGCCACGGCUAACUACGUG